UCCCUGGUGGCUCAAUGGUAAAGAAUCUGCCUGCCUAAGCAGGAGACCCAGGUUCGAUCCCUGGGUGGGGAA
This 72-nucleotide transfer RNA is filed under the name Bos taurus (domestic cattle). It matches the Rfam family "tRNA". From Rfam's summary of the family: Transfer RNA (tRNA) molecules are approximately 80 nucleotides in length. Their secondary structure includes four short double-helical elements and three loops (D, anti-codon, and T loops). Lineage: Eukaryota; Metazoa; Chordata; Mammalia; Artiodactyla; Bovidae. RNAcentral also lists the same sequence under 2 other names. The record is from Rfam by way of RNAcentral.